GAUGAAGAACGUAGUGAAAUGCGAUAAUUAAUGUGAAUUGCAGAAUUCAGUGAAUCAUCGAGUCUUUGAACGCACAUUGCGCCCCCUGGUAUCCCGGGGGGCAUGCCUGUCCGAGCGUCAUUGCUGCCCUCAAGCACGGCUUGUGUGUUGGGCUUCCGUCCCUGGCAACGGGGACGGGCCCAAAAGGCAGUGGCGGCACCAUGUCUGGUCCUCGAGCGUAUGGGGCUUUGUCACCCGCUCCCGUAGGUCCAGCUGGCAGCUAGCCUCGCAACCAAUCUUUUUAACCAGGUUGACCUCGGAUCAGGUAGGGAUACCCGCUGAACUUAAGCAUAUCAAUAAGCGGAGGA
This 347-nucleotide unclassified non-coding RNA is filed under the name soil metagenome. RNAcentral's name for it is "partial contains 5.8S ribosomal RNA, internal transcribed spacer 2, and large subunit ribosomal RNA". The stretch from base 1 to 120 matches the Rfam family "5.8S ribosomal RNA", at positions 35 to 154 of the family's 154-position model. The record is from RNAcentral.